GCCCUCGCUGGAGUGUGCUCCCCGGGAGCCCUUCAAGAGCAACGCACCCUGGAUGCCAUUGUGGAGAAGGAGACGCAUGUGGACAGAGAAUGGCUCUGGAGCUGUGGAGCCUGGUGCAGGAUCUGACUCAGAGACACUCCAUAAACCUUUCUCAAAGAAUAUAUGAAUGCGGCGUGAAAGUGAAGCUGCUGUUUCUGCAGCACAAGGCUGUGGUGAGGAGUCCAUGAAGAGGGGCCCACCAGGCCUCAGGGGCCACUCAUGCCAGGAAGGGGCAGUCAUCCUAGGAGGAGUGGUGCUAUCAGAAGCUACCUCAGGAGAAGAAGCUGAGGCAGGCUGUCCCUGGAGGGCAAGGUCCAAUGCCGGAGACACAAGGUUCAUCAGGAGUCAUCUGCUCUCUGCCAGGCACUGUCCUUGAUGCUGAAGACUCAAGGCCGCUUCACUACAGCCCAGUCCUAAGCAUCCGCCCAUCUCCCAGCAGCCCAGCCAGGUCUCCACUGUUGACCACGACAAGGUCAACAACAAGGUGUCCACCUAGCCUCAUGGGCGCAGGAGGCCUUGCUCUCCCCAAGCUCAAGGUGGCUGCAGUCAGUUCCCACCAGGUGACAGUGAUUGCCUUAGCAGCUGGUGGGCGCUCCCUGCCCCGGAGGCCGCCCACCUUGGGUGGGACACAAGGCAGCAGACAAUGGGAAGGAAUGAGAAUUCGUGAGGCCAGCAAGGGUGGCUGGUGAGAAGGGGGUGGAGGGCGUGGGGGCUGGGUGGAGGCCAGGGAUGCAAAGCAGGUGAGGGUGGGGAGUGCCU
Heterocephalus glaber (naked mole-rat) is the source of this 798-nucleotide long non-coding RNA. The record is from Ensembl. NCBI's taxonomy places the organism in Eukaryota, Metazoa, Chordata, Mammalia, Rodentia, Bathyergidae.